CGAGAGUUGUGCUCAAGGACAUUGUUGUGCUGUCUUCACGCUGAUUUUUUUUAGAUAACAUGAAUCAUGUAAGACAAUAUUAUAGAAGCAAAUAUCAAGCUUAUAAUACAGAUGAUGAUGAGGAUGAUGAUCAAGAAUUUUUCAAAUUAGGAUGGUAUACAUCUCCUUCAAUGGACAUGCUCAUUCGUGUAAAACGUUGCAUAAUCAGCAAAGAGAAAUUUUAUAGAAAGGCUAUAAAUCCAUCAGUAAGUUUCUUUCUAUAAGAGAUAAAAAUAGAUAUUUAUUUUUUUCAUGAAGCAUAAACAGC
RNAcentral lists this long non-coding RNA (307 nucleotides) under Androctonus crassicauda. Lineage: Eukaryota; Metazoa; Arthropoda; Arachnida; Scorpiones; Buthidae. The record is from RNAcentral.